UGGGGAAUUUUGGACAAUGGGCGAAAGCCUGAUCCAGCAAUGCCGCGUGUGUGAAGAAGGCCUUCGGGUUGUAAAGCACUUUUGUCCGGAAAGAAAUCCUUGGCUCUAAUACAGUCGGGGGAUGACGGUACCGGAAGAAUAAGCACCGGCUAACUACGUGCCAGCAGCCGCGGUAAUACGUAGGGUGCAAGCGUUAAUCGGAAUUACUGGGCGUAAAGCGUGCGCAGGCGGUUUGCUAAGACCGAUGUGAAAUCCCCGGGCUCAACCUGGGAACUGCAUUGGUGACUGGCAGGCUAGAGUAUGGCAGAGGGGGGUAGAAUUCCACGUGUAGCAGUGAAAUGCGUAGAGAUGUGGAGGAAUACCGAUGGCGAAGGCAGCCCCCUGGGCCAAUACUGACGCUCAUGCACGAAAAGCGUGGGGAGCAAACAGGAUUAGAUACCCCUGGUAGUCCACGCCCUAAACGAUGUCAACUAGUUGUUGGGGAUUCAUUUCCUUAGUAACGUAGCUAACGCGUGAAGUUGACCGCCUGGGGAGUACGGUCGCAAGAUUAAAACUUAAAUGAAUUGAC
Molecule: ribosomal RNA, 568 nt
Filed under: uncultured bacterium
Lineage: Bacteria
Description: partial 16S ribosomal RNA
Rfam family: Bacterial small subunit ribosomal RNA
Source: RNAcentral